Molecule: ribosomal RNA, 429 nt
Filed under: Gemmatimonadota bacterium
Lineage: Bacteria; Pseudomonadati; Gemmatimonadota
Description: Gemmatimonadetes bacterium partial 16S ribosomal RNA
Rfam family: Bacterial small subunit ribosomal RNA
Source: RNAcentral
UAGGGAAUCUUCGGCAAUGGACGAAAGUCUGACCGAGCAACGCCGCGUGAGUGAAGAAGGUUUUCGGAUCGUAAAACUCUGUUGUUAGAGAAGAACAAGGACGUUAGUAACUGAACGUCCCCUGACGGUAUCUAACCAGAAAGCCACGGCUAACUACGUGCCAGCAGCCGCGGUAAUACGUAGGUGGCAAGCGUUGUCCGGAUUUAUUUGGCGUAAAGCGAGCGCAGGCGGUUUCUUAAGUCUGAUGUGAAAGCCCCCGGCUCAACCGGGGAGGGUCAUUGGAAACUGGGAGACUUGAGUGCAGAAGAGGAGAGUGGAAUUCCAUGUGUAGCGGUGAAAUGCGUAGAUAUAUGGAGGAACACCAGUGGCGAAGGCGGCUCUCUGUUCUGUAACUGACGCUGAGGCUCGAAAGCGUGGGGAGCAAACAGG